CGACUUAGCUCAGCUGGCAGAGCAGCUGAUUUGUAAUCAGCCGGUCGUUGGUUCGAAUCCGACAGUCG
RNAcentral lists this transfer RNA (68 nucleotides) under uncultured Bullifex sp. It matches the Rfam family "tRNA". From Rfam's summary of the family: Transfer RNA (tRNA) molecules are approximately 80 nucleotides in length. Their secondary structure includes four short double-helical elements and three loops (D, anti-codon, and T loops). The record is from RNAcentral. Lineage: Bacteria; Pseudomonadati; Spirochaetota; Spirochaetia; Spirochaetales; Spirochaetaceae.